RNAcentral lists this unclassified non-coding RNA (304 nucleotides) under Hevea brasiliensis (rubber tree). The record is from RNAcentral. Lineage: Eukaryota; Viridiplantae; Streptophyta; Magnoliopsida; Malpighiales; Euphorbiaceae.
AAAAAAAAAUCCAAACCAGUGUGAAAGAAGCAGAGAGAAUUUGAGGCGGAGGCAAGGCAAUUAGGCAAACUCAUCAUUAGAAUUAAUUAGAUUAUACCAUAUCUUUCUACACAAAUCUCAUUUUGGUCCCUUCAUUGAGUCCAGCAACAAAAUCAUCCAACAAACGCUGGAAGCAUAGCGAUAGAAAUAUAGAUACACAUAGCAUUUUUUUGGUCUCAAGUCGUCAUCAAUCAUCCACCUCCUCAGAUCCAAUUUGAACCAGAAAUCAACUACCCAACUCUUUUCUCUUCCUUUCUUUUCUUUU